Molecule: long non-coding RNA, 684 nt
Filed under: Bemisia tabaci
Lineage: Eukaryota; Metazoa; Arthropoda; Insecta; Hemiptera; Aleyrodidae
Description: lncRNA ENSASIAIIG001592
Source: RNAcentral
AGGAGCGAUUUUGUUGCCAGCUGAGAACCAGCUGUUUAUUGCGUACAAAGAGAAAGGAUAGGGUUUGUGUUUUCGUCGAGUCGGGCGAUGGUUGUGCUUCGUGCUUGAUAGCAGAGCUUUGUCCAGAGUAAUUAAGCUGGACAAGUCGUGUGUUUUACUGAACUGUGGGACCUCCAAAAUGUGCGUGGAUAUUUAGUGUUUUAAUCACCUGGAUACUGGGGUAAUCAACACGUUUAUCGCGUCAGAUCGGCUUCCGCCGGGCCCGGCCGUAUGGCACUCAGUUACUGCUCAAACGGAUUUUUCUUAUUCGGAGGAGAAUGAGAUGACAGAGAGGGAAACCAAAAAACAAGUAAGAUAUUGUCUAAUCAACUCAAAACUCCUAUACAUUCAGUCUAAAAUGCGUAGAUUAAUGAUGUGAAUCUCGAGUGGGUGAGUGCGAAACAAAAAACAAUCUUUUCACUAGCAUUUUAUUUCCUUGGCAAAUCGAUGUCUGAAAUGUCAUUCGAACUGAUGAAAGUAUUCGAGCACCCGAAAUUCUGCAGAACAGCAUUUAAAGUGUUCCUUUGUCAAGAUGUGAACUAGAACUAGAGAAGAUCCAGUCCCUGAUGAUGCUCAAUGGGAAAAUUGCAAACAUCCUACAGGGUGUCUAGCAUCAGGAUUUCCCCGAUUCUAUCAGGAUUUGAG